This 200-nucleotide ribosomal RNA is filed under the name uncultured bacterium. Its description in RNAcentral is "partial 16S ribosomal RNA". It matches the Rfam family "Bacterial small subunit ribosomal RNA", at positions 8 to 212 of the family's 1533-position model. The record is from RNAcentral.
AGAGUUUGAUCCUGGCUCAGAACGAACGCUGGCGGCAUGCCUAACACAUGCAAGUCGGACGCUUUCGGGGUUUCGGCUCCGAGGGAGUGGCGGACGGGUGAGUAGCGCGUGGGAACCUGCCCUUCAGUGGGGGAUAACCGAGGGAAACUUCGGCUAAUACCGCAUGCGCCCGCGGAGUUGAUCUGCGGGGAAAGAUUGAU